UCGGGAAUAUUGCGCAAUGGGGGAAACCCUGACGCAGCGACGCCGCGUGUGGGAUGAAGGUCUUCGGAUUGUAAACCACUGUCGCGAGGGACGAAGCUCUGACGGUACUUCGAAAGGAAGCACCGGCUAACUCUGUGCCAGCAGCCGCGGUAAUACAGAGGGUGCGAGCGUUGUCCGGAAUCACUGGGCGUAAAGGGCGCGUAGGCGGCCCGGUAAGUAGGGGGUGAAAUCUCAUGGCUCAACUGUGAGGCUGCCUUCUAGACUGCCAGGCUUGAGCACAGUAGAGGCGAGUGGAAUUCCCGGUGUAGCGGUGGAAUGCGUAGAGAUCGGGAAGAACAUCGGUGGCGAAGGCGGCUCGCUGGGCUGUUGCUGACGCUGAGGCGCGAAAGCGUGGGGAGCAAACAGGAUUAGAUACCCCAGUAGUCCCUGAGCGGGCUGGCAAGGCGCAU
This 449-nucleotide ribosomal RNA is filed under the name uncultured bacterium. RNAcentral describes it as "bacterial SSU rRNA". It matches the Rfam family "Bacterial small subunit ribosomal RNA", at positions 355 to 825 of the family's 1533-position model. The record is from RNAcentral.